Rosa rugosa (rugosa rose) is the source of this 431-nucleotide long non-coding RNA. RefSeq lists it as uncharacterized. Lineage: Eukaryota; Viridiplantae; Streptophyta; Magnoliopsida; Rosales; Rosaceae. The transcript has 2 exons. The record is from RefSeq and is a predicted model, not a curated record.
UGACUGAAUGAUGAAAUGAAAAUGGGAUCCAACUUCAAAUUCAAAACUCAUCAGAACAUGCUGAGUCAAGAUGAAGAAGAGGCAAGACUAUGAUGGGUCGUCAACUGAAUUGACUCACCUCUUUACUGAAGGGAAGGAUUUCUAACUCUGAAGCUGCUACAGAGCUGAAAGAAACAAAAUUUAUGAAGCAGACCAAUGGCGACUCCAUAUGAAUUCGCAAAAACAAUUCGUCCGAAUAUCACAACUCCAUUUUUGAGUGCAAAGAUAGUGAAAUUUUGUCUUAGUCCCCUGUAAAACUUUCUUAUUCUCCCAGGAUCAUAUCCUGGGAAUAUAUAAUACAUUCCAAUCCUCAUCAACUGUCUUGUCUUAUUUUGUAUUAAACCACUGCCAGAAUAUACUAAAUCAAAGCAUAGUUUUACUUUUACAACAAA